CGGGGCGUAGCGCAGUUGGCGAGCGCGCCGGUCUUGGGAACCGGAGGUCGCUGGUUCAAGCCCAGUCGCCCCGACCA
This 77-nucleotide transfer RNA is filed under the name Fervidobacterium nodosum. RNAcentral's name for it is "tRNA-Pro". It matches the Rfam family "tRNA". Rfam says of the family: Transfer RNA (tRNA) molecules are approximately 80 nucleotides in length. Their secondary structure includes four short double-helical elements and three loops (D, anti-codon, and T loops). The record is from RNAcentral. RNAcentral also lists the same sequence under 5 other names. Lineage: Bacteria; Thermotogati; Thermotogota; Thermotogae; Thermotogales; Fervidobacteriaceae.